RNAcentral lists this ribosomal RNA (253 nucleotides) under uncultured bacterium. Its description in RNAcentral is "partial 16S ribosomal RNA". It matches the Rfam family "Bacterial small subunit ribosomal RNA", at positions 524 to 776 of the family's 1533-position model. The record is from RNAcentral.
UACAGAGGUCUCAAGCGUUGUUCGGAUUUAUUGGGCGUAAAGGGUGCGUAGGUGGCGGGGUAAGUCAGGUGUGAAAUCUCGAGGCUCAACCUCGAAACUGCACUUGAUACUGCCUUGCUCGAGUACUGGAGAGGAGAUUGGAAUUUACGGUGUAGCAGUGAAAUGCGUAGAUAUCGUAAGGAAGACCAGUGGCGAAGGCGAAUCUCUGGACAGUUACUGACACUGAGGCACGAAGGCCAGGGGAGCAAACGGG